RNAcentral lists this ribosomal RNA (586 nucleotides) under Vulcanisaeta distributa. RNAcentral's name for it is "bacterial SSU rRNA". It matches the Rfam family "Archaeal small subunit ribosomal RNA", at positions 44 to 609 of the family's 1478-position model. The record is from RNAcentral. Lineage: Archaea; Thermoproteati; Thermoproteota; Thermoprotei; Thermoproteales; Thermoproteaceae.
CUAAGCCAUGCGAGUCGUACGCCCGGGGACCGCCGGGCGUGGCGCACGGCUCAGUAACACGUGCCUAACCUACCCUCGGGAGGGGGAUAACCCCGGGAAACUGGGGCUAAUCCCCCAUAGGGGAAGGGUGCUGGAAGGCCCCUUCCCCGAAAGGGACCGCGGUCGAUCUACCGUGGUCCGCCCGAGGAUGGGGGCACGGCCCAUCAUGGUAGUUGGCGGGGUAAAGGCCCGCCAAGCCGAAGACGGGUGGGGGCCGUGAGAGCGGGAGCCCCGAGAUGGGCACUGAGACAAGGGCCCAGGCCCUACGGGGUGCAGCAGGCGCGAAAACUCCGCAAUGCGGGAAACCGUGACGGGGCCACCCCGAGUGCCGCCCGAAGAGGGCGGCUUUUGCCCGGUGCAAAAAGCCGGGCGAAUAAGCGGGGGGCAAGUCUGGUGUCAGCCGCCGCGGUAAUACCAGCCCCGCGAGUGGUCGGGGUGCUUACUGGGCCUAAAGCGCCCGUAGCCGGCCCGGUAAGUCGCCCCUGAAAUCCACGGGCUCAACCCGUGGGCUGGGGGCGAUACUACCGGGCUUGGGGGCGGGAGAGGC